This 727-nucleotide long non-coding RNA is filed under the name Gossypium raimondii (Peruvian cotton). RNAcentral's name for it is "long non-coding RNA (GRAI_LNC003534)". Lineage: Eukaryota; Viridiplantae; Streptophyta; Magnoliopsida; Malvales; Malvaceae. The record is from RNAcentral.
UUAAAGAGAACAAAUGUUCUCUGCACCGUUCAGUACUGAGGCACUCGAUCGGUCUCCGAUCCUAGCCCAUUCUCCGAUGACGACAAAGAGGGCCAGAAUCUCACCGCCAGGUACGUCUUUUCUUUCCUUUUAUUGUUUCUCUCCUUAACCAACGAUUAAUAAACGCAAAAAUAAGAAAAAGAAAGAAAAGUAAUAACCAGCCAAAAUGAAAGAGAAAAAGGAACCCAGAAAAUCACCUCUGAGUAUUUUGAUUUUUUUUAUAUUCUGAAUGCAUGUGUGUCACCGAUUACAAAGGUUUCGCCUUUUGUUUUAUAGGCUGAAAAAAUAAACAAAAAUAACAAAAAUGAAAAUACAAAUUUUCCUUUCUGCUGCGUUGUUUGCUCUAUUUGCAGGUACGACGUACGGAGUCGGGGACGUGGCGUGUACGGAGGCCAGCUGGAGGCGCGUGGUGGUGCUACGUGCGUGGGGAGUGGCUCGGUAGCGGCGCAUCAGCCAUUAGGGUUUUCCGGCUUUUGUUUCUAUGUUGGGUUUUGGGUUUCUGUAAUCGGGCCAGGGUUCAGGCCUUUUUGGGCCAAUUGGUUUGUAAUCUGGGCUGGACUGUGUAAAUGGACUUUGCCCUUUUAUUGAAUUUGAUUUUAUUUAUUUAUUUAGUUAAUAAUUUUUUUUGACAUGUAUGUGAGCCGGGCUAAAAUGGUCUGCUACAAUAGGUACCAAAUUAAAAAAAAAA